This 198-nucleotide ribosomal RNA is filed under the name uncultured bacterium. RNAcentral describes it as "partial 16S ribosomal RNA". It matches the Rfam family "Bacterial small subunit ribosomal RNA", at positions 158 to 353 of the family's 1533-position model. The record is from RNAcentral.
UCGGACUAAUACCGCAUGAAGCAGGGGCCCCGCAUGGGGAUAUUUGCUAAAGAUUCAUCGCUGAUAGAUAGGCAUGCGUUCCAUUAGGCAGUUGGCGGGGUAACGGCCCACCAAACCGACGAUGGAUAGGGGUUCUGAGAGGAAGGUCCCCCACAUUGGUACUGAGACACGGACCAAACUCCUACGGGAGGCAGCAUG